GAUGGGGAUGCGUUCCAUUAGUUUGUUGGCGGGGUAACGGCCCACCAAGACUACGAUGGAUAGGGGUUCUGAGAGGAAGGUCCCCCACAUUGGAACUGAGACACGGUCCAAACUCCUACGGGAGGCAGCAGUGAGGAAUAUUGGUCAAUGGACGCGAGUCUGAACCAGCCAAGUAGCGUGAAGGAUGACUGCCCUAUGGGUUGUAAACUUCUUUUAUAUGGGAAUAAAGUUGUCCACGUGUGGAUUUUUGUAUGUACCAUAUGAAUAAGGAUCGGCUAACUCCGUGCCAGCAGCCGCGGUAAUACGGAGGAUCCGAGCGUUAUCCGGAUUUAUUGGGUUUAAAGGGAGCGUAGGCGGAUUGUUAAGUCAGUUGUGAAAGUUUGCGGCUCAACCGUAAAAUUGCAGUUGAUACUGGCAGUCUUGAGUGCAGUAGAGGUGGGCGGAAUUCGUGGUGUAGCGGUGAAAUGCUUAGAUAUCACGAAGAACUCCGAUUGCGAAGGCAGCUCACUGGAGUGUAACUGACGCUGAUGCUCGAAAGUGUGGGUAUCAAACAGGAUUAGAUACCCUGGUAGUCCACACAGUAAACGAUGAAUACUCGCUGUUUGCGAUAUACAGUAAGCGGCC
Molecule: ribosomal RNA, 624 nt
Filed under: uncultured bacterium
Lineage: Bacteria
Description: bacterial SSU rRNA
Rfam family: Bacterial small subunit ribosomal RNA
Source: RNAcentral